CGCUUGAUGCGGUUUUCCACUCCAAACGUUCACGAUCAUCAAGGCUGGAAAAGGGGAGAAUUAUCGAGAACCAGACAGCAGACUCAUAAACAACCUCUUUAAGGAAAAAAAAACAUGGCCGCCCCUAGUUCAAAAGGUCAUUUACGUAAUUGUUUCAAGAUAAAUUAUGUCGUGAGACGUCUAUUGCACUGAGGCUCAGGUUUGUGAUUUCAGUUAGUCGGUAUCACCCGCGUCUGGAAUUAAGCGUUUGUAAUCGGCUUUUGGUAACAGUCGGUACGGAACACUGAAGCCUGUGAUCCAUAACUGCAGCUUUAAUCAAAUUGUGCUGUCGAUCAGUACUUCACAGCUAGCGGCGAGUGGAUGAUAGUGUUCCUUUGAGUCAUGACAGAGCCACAUGACAUACAGAAUAACAAAAACGCAACCAGAAUACUGAAAAUGAAGUCAUGCCCUGAAACUUUGGGUUGUUUUGGAUUUACACGACUCGUUGGAUCAAAACCGAAUCGACAAGAAGAAUUUGAUCAACUUUUGGAGAGCACAAGGUACAGCCAGCUUGAAGAACUUUAUUACGAUCAUGCUCAGCGAUCAAACAAACCGAAGCUCGCCAACGUGCUACUCAAGAUACUACAAAUUCAAGAAGUGGAAUCGAUUCAAGAGUAUACUGUGAACGGAAAUACAUUCAAGGUACACGUAAUAGAAGACACAGAGCUAUAAUAUAAGACAUUUGUAACAUUAUCCACUCGUCUUCAGGCUAGUUUUUAAACAAAAAAAGAAAGUUAAGCCACUGAUACCCACGUAGUGUUUCAGAAAGACAACAUUGCACCCUUUUGUUCGAAAGAAUUACCGUUGGGGAUUUGGUUCCGUGCUACUCAUGCGUGAACUCUUACGUGGGAUGUAUGAAACAUUCUCUGCCAAGUGAGACAAAAGAAGUUAAUGGAAGUUAGUGAGGUACUUUAAACGAGGUUGACCUUCUUUGUUCGUUCCGACUUUGGUGUGCAAUGUUUGUUAAGGAUGAAGCCGAAUAGUUUUAUACAGCACAUAAAUGUUGCUUUGAGUUACAAGCAAGUAAUGUAGCGAUUCUAUCAGACUAUUGUCGACGUGUUUUAAGUUGCUACUGGCUGUCAGUGAACCUUAACUUAUUAGAGUUUUUAGAGAACAGAUCUGCUAUUUCGUUAAUCGUCUUUUAAGUGGUGAGAAGAUUACAGAUGUUCCUCUUAUGCUCUCUGAUAGUUAUUUCAGAUAAAGAAUUUCCGUUUGAACUGGUAUUUUAGAGGGGGGAUACAAUAAUGCUAUUUUCGCUUUGAGAAAGAUCUUUCAAACAAAAUGACUAAAUACAUGACAAUGUCUAUUUUCUACUGUUAACUUUCUUAAAUCAGAAUUGAAAGUACAUACGUCAUGGUCUGCAGAAUUACUGAAGAGCUAAAAUGUUUCACCUAGUUUCUAGGGCCAAGGGUCAGCCAUAUUUUGUUUAAACAUGUUUUAAAACAGGGUUCACUUUUGUUCUUUUAAAAAGGUAAACAGCUACAUGUACCAACCAAAGGAUUGAAUGAAUUUUUGUUUUUCCAGAUGAAAACGUUGACAAGAAUUUUUAUGUGCAUUUCAAAUACUCCAGUUCAUAGUUUUCGUCGCUGGAGAUUCCAUGAUAAUCCCGGAGUUUGCACUCAGCAUAUUUGUUGUUCGCAGAGAGCUCCAGGCAAAAAUGUCUACGCGUUUAAAAUAUAGAUUUUCUCUGGUGGUCAUGGUUGUGAUAUACAGACUACGGAUAAAGGAGUGAACUUAAAUAAGUUAAUAAUAUACAUGAAAAAUGACCCAGUUCUGAUUCGCUAAGCUAAGAAAAGUGCUGUUCUCGUGUACACAAGUGCAAAUUUGUGACGCAGUUAAAAGUGAGGUUUCAAAACAGCGGUUGGGUUCUUGUAAAGGCCAAGCUUCCAUAAUCGAGGAUAAUUCCGACUGAACAAUUUAUUUUUACAGGUUAUUGUCCACUGAAUUUUCUUUGAAAUAUUUUUGAAUGGUUUAAAACUCAAUCUUUACACGUUUCUGAGUUUACAGUUGAAUAACUUUUGAGAGGUAGGAGUUGUAGAGGUUUGAAUUUCCCGAACGUCGUAAUGCAAACUGAGUACCAUAAAAACUCCUGUUGUUUUGGC
This 2141-nucleotide long non-coding RNA is filed under the name Stylophora pistillata. Its description in RNAcentral is "uncharacterized LOC111335741". Lineage: Eukaryota; Metazoa; Cnidaria; Anthozoa; Scleractinia; Pocilloporidae. The record is from RNAcentral.